RNAcentral lists this ribosomal RNA (2898 nucleotides) under Escherichia coli P0304816.1. Its description in RNAcentral is "bacterial LSU rRNA". It matches the Rfam family "Bacterial large subunit ribosomal RNA". The record is from RNAcentral. Lineage: Bacteria; Pseudomonadati; Pseudomonadota; Gammaproteobacteria; Enterobacterales; Enterobacteriaceae.
UAAGCGACUAAGCGUACACGGUGGAUGCCCUGGCAGUCAGAGGCGAUGAAGGACGUGCUAAUCUGCGAUAAGCGUCGGUAAGGUGAUAUGAACCGUUAUAACCGGCGAUUUCCGAAUGGGGAAACCCAGUGUGAUUCGUCACACUAUCAUUAACUGAAUCCAUAGGUUAAUGAGGCGAACCGGGGGAACUGAAACAUCUAAGUACCCCGAGGAAAAGAAAUCAACCGAGAUUCCCCCAGUAGCGGCGAGCGAACGGGGAGCAGCCCAGAGCCUGAAUCAGUGUGUGUGUUAGUGGAAGCGUCUGGAAAGGCGUGCGAUACAGGGUGACAGCCCCGUACACAAAAAUGCACAUGCUGUGAGCUCGAUGAGUAGGGCGGGACACGUGGUAUCCUGUCUGAAUAUGGGGGGACCAUCCUCCAAGGCUAAAUACUCCUGACUGACCGAUAGUGAACCAGUACCGUGAGGGAAAGGCGAAAAGAACCCCGGCGAGGGGAGUGAAAAAGAACCUGAAACCGUGUACGUACAAGCAGUGGGAGCACGCUUAGGCGUGUGACUGCGUACCUUUUGUAUAAUGGGUCAGCGACUUAUAUUCUGUAGCAAGGUUAACCGAAUAGGGGAGCCGAAGGGAAACCGAGUCUUAACUGGGCGUUAAGUUGCAGGGUAUAGACCCGAAACCCGGUGAUCUAGCCAUGGGCAGGUUGAAGGUUGGGUAACACUAACUGGAGGACCGAACCGACUAAUGUUGAAAAAUUAGCGGAUGACUUGUGGCUGGGGGUGAAAGGCCAAUCAAACCGGGAGAUAGCUGGUUCUCCCCGAAAGCUAUUUAGGUAGCGCCUCGUGAAUUCAUCUCCGGGGGUAGAGCACUGUUUCGGCAAGGGGGUCAUCCCGACUUACCAACCCGAUGCAAACUGCGAAUACCGGAGAAUGUUAUCACGGGAGACACACGGCGGGUGCUAACGUCCGUCGUGAAGAGGGAAACAACCCAGACCGCCAGCUAAGGUCCCAAAGUCAUGGUUAAGUGGGAAACGAUGUGGGAAGGCCCAGACAGCCAGGAUGUUGGCUUAGAAGCAGCCAUCAUUUAAAGAAGCGUAAUAGCUCACUGGUCGAGUCGGCCUGCGCGGAAGAUGUAACGGGGCUAAACCAUGCACCGAAGCUGCGGCAGCGACGCUGAUGCGUUGUUGGGUAGGGGAGCGUUCUGUAAGCCUGCGAAGGUGUGCUGUGAGGCAUGCUGGAGGUAUCAGAAGUGCGAAUGCUGACAUAAGUAACGAUAAAGCGGGUGAAAAGCCCGCUCGCCGGAAGACCAAGGGUUCCUGUCCAACGUUAAUCGGGGCAGGGUGAGUCGACCCCUAAGGCGAGGCCGAAAGGCGUAGUCGAUGGGAAACAGGUUAAUAUUCCUGUACUUGGUGUUACUGCGAAGGGGGACGGAGAAGGCUAUGUUGGCCGGGCGACGGUUGUCCCGGUUUAAGCGUGUAGGCUGGUUUUCCAGGCAAAUCCGGAAAAUCAAGGCUGAGGCGUGAUGACGAGGCACUACGGUGCUGAAGCAACAAAUGCCCUGCUUCCAGGAAAAGCCUCUAAGCAUCAGGUAACAUCAAAUCGUACCCCAAACCGACACAGGUGGUCAGGUAGAGAAUACCAAGGCGCUUGAGAGAACUCGGGUGAAGGAACUAGGCAAAAUGGUGCCGUAACUUCGGGAGAAGGCACGCUGAUAUGUAGGUGAAGUCCCUCGCGGAUGGAGCUGAAAUCAGUCGAAGAUACCAGCUGGCUGCAACUGUUUAUUAAAAACACAGCACUGUGCAAACACGAAAGUGGACGUAUACGGUGUGACGCCUGCCCGGUGCCGGAAGGUUAAUUGAUGGGGUUAGCGCAAGCGAAGCUCUUGAUCGAAGCCCCGGUAAACGGCGGCCGUAACUAUAACGGUCCUAAGGUAGCGAAAUUCCUUGUCGGGUAAGUUCCGACCUGCACGAAUGGCGUAAUGAUGGCCAGGCUGUCUCCACCCGAGACUCAGUGAAAUUGAACUCGCUGUGAAGAUGCAGUGUACCCGCGGCAAGACGGAAAGACCCCGUGAACCUUUACUAUAGCUUGACACUGAACAUUGAGCCUUGAUGUGUAGGAUAGGUGGGAGGCUUUGAAGUGUGGACGCCAGUCUGCAUGGAGCCGACCUUGAAAUACCACCCUUUAAUGUUUGAUGUUCUAACGUUGACCCGUAAUCCGGGUUGCGGACAGUGUCUGGUGGGUAGUUUGACUGGGGCGGUCUCCUCCUAAAGAGUAACGGAGGAGCACGAAGGUUGGCUAAUCCUGGUCGGACAUCAGGAGGUUAGUGCAAUGGCAUAAGCCAGCUUGACUGCGAGCGUGACGGCGCGAGCAGGUGCGAAAGCAGGUCAUAGUGAUCCGGUGGUUCUGAAUGGAAGGGCCAUCGCUCAACGGAUAAAAGGUACUCCGGGGAUAACAGGCUGAUACCGCCCAAGAGUUCAUAUCGACGGCGGUGUUUGGCACCUCGAUGUCGGCUCAUCACAUCCUGGGGCUGAAGUAGGUCCCAAGGGUAUGGCUGUUCGCCAUUUAAAGUGGUACGCGAGCUGGGUUUAGAACGUCGUGAGACAGUUCGGUCCCUAUCUGCCGUGGGCGCUGGAGAACUGAGGGGGGCUGCUCCUAGUACGAGAGGACCGGAGUGGACGCAUCACUGGUGUUCGGGUUGUCAUGCCAAUGGCACUGCCCGGUAGCUAAAUGCGGAAGAGAUAAGUGCUGAAAGCAUCUAAGCACGAAACUUGCCCCGAGAUGAGUUCUCCCUGACUCCUUGAGAGUCCUGAAGGAACGUUGAAGACGACGACGUUGAUAGGCCGGGUGUGUAAGCGCAGCGAUGCGUUGAGCUAACCGGUACUAAUGAACCGUGAGGCUUAACCU